GUGAGGAAUAUUGGUCAAUGGGCGGAAGCCUGAACCAGCCAUCCCGCGUGAAGGAAGGCGGCCCUAUGGGUUGUAAACUUCUUUAGUACAUGAAGAACAGGAUCUACGCGUAGGUUUAUGACGGUAAUGUACAAAAAAGCAUCGGCUAACUCCGUGCCAGCAGCCGCGGUAAUACGGAGGAUGCGAGCGUUAUCCGGAUUCAUUGGGUUUAAAGGGUACGUAGGUGGCCCUGUAAGUCAGUGGUGAAAAUCUGCCGCUUAACGGUAGGGGUGCCAAUGAUACUGCGGGGCUUGAGUACAGUUGAGGUAGGUGGAAUGUGUAGUGUAGCGGUGAAAUGCAUAGAUAUUACACAGAACUCCGAUUGCGAAGGCAUCUUACUAAGCUGAAACUGACACUGAUGUACGAAAGCGUGGGGAUCGAACAGGAUUAGAAACCCCUGUAGUCC
This 445-nucleotide ribosomal RNA is filed under the name uncultured bacterium. Its description in RNAcentral is "partial 16S ribosomal RNA". It matches the Rfam family "Bacterial small subunit ribosomal RNA", at positions 354 to 796 of the family's 1533-position model. The record is from RNAcentral.